This 212-nucleotide unclassified non-coding RNA is filed under the name plant metagenome. Its description in RNAcentral is "partial contains small subunit ribosomal RNA, internal transcribed spacer 1, and 5.8S ribosomal RNA". The record is from RNAcentral.
UUUCCGUAGGUGAACCUGCGGAAGGAUCAUUAAAAAUGAAGCCGGGAAACCAGUCCUUCUAACCCUUGAUCAUCUUAAUUUGUUGCUUUGGUGGGCCGCGCGAGCACCGGCUUCGGCUGGAUCGUGCCCGCCAGAGGACACAACUCUGUAUCAAAUGUCGUCUGAGUACUAUAAAAUAGUUAAAACUUUCAACAACGGAUCUCUUGGUUCCG